AUUGAACGCUAGCGGCAGGCCUAACACAUGCAAGUCGAGCGGAUGACGAGAGCUUGCUCCUUGAUUCAGCGGCGGACGGGUGAGUAAUGCCUAGGAAUCUGCCUGGUAGUGGGGGACCACGUUUCGAAAGGAACGCUAAUACCGCAUACGUCCUACGGGAGAAAGCAGGGGACCUUCGGGCCUUGCGCUAUCAGAUGAGCCUAGGUCGGAUUAGCUAGUUGGUGGGGUAAUGGCUCACCAAGGCGACGAUCCGUAACUGGUCUGAGAGGAUGAUCAGUCACACUGGAACUGAGACACGGUCCAGACUCCUACGGGAGGCAGCAGUGGGGAAUAUUGGACAAUGGGCGAAAGCCUGAUCCAGCCAUGCCGCGUGUGUGAAGAAGGUCUUCGGAUUGUAAAGCGCUUUAAGUUGGGAGGAAGGGCAGUAAGCUAAUACCUUGCUGUUUUGACGUUACCGACAGAAUAAGCACCGGCUAACUCUGUGCCAGCCGCCGCGGUAA
This 500-nucleotide ribosomal RNA is filed under the name uncultured bacterium. RNAcentral describes it as "partial 16S ribosomal RNA". It matches the Rfam family "Bacterial small subunit ribosomal RNA", at positions 30 to 523 of the family's 1533-position model. The record is from RNAcentral.